UUAGGUUGACUUACGAUGACUUAAUAUGAUGACUUUUCAUGCAAUGUUGAGAACAAAAACUCUCACAAUUCCGUUGAUUUGAUUCUGAAUAUGAUGACCUAUUCUUGUCUCUUCCUUUUUGUUGUUGUUGUUUUUUACUAUCUCAAUGUCAUAGAACAGUUUCUCUCCAUUAUUUGAAUCGUCUGGCCACCCUCAGAACCGUAACAGCAGCGGUCGCCUAUCGACGGUCACACAUGGCUCAGUUUCCCAGGAUGCACCUGGCACGGGGCAAGCGAGCGGAUGCAGGCCACAGCUGUUUCCUGUGCACACUUCCUGGUUUGCCUUUCAGAGGCCUGCUGGUUUUGGGUUGUAUUCGUGGGGUUGAUAAGGGUGAUGUACAAGAGUGGAUUUGAGACUUUUCCAGUCCGGAUAUGUCCGCCAUGGGCACAGCUGGACACAAGCCAGAGACGCUACGCUGAGAAAACCGAGACUGCGCUCCCUGGACACUUCAUGAAAUACAUCUAAACCAUUGGUCACCAACAUGGUACCUGCGGAGACCAGAUGGCGCGAGCAAACAAAGGGAAUCUGAAAUGCCAGGAGAAAAAAUUAACGAUACACAUGAGCUACACAUGAACGUAACGUUUUUGCACCGAAGACGCUGUCAAAGUGCGUCCCAUGCCGCCGGGUCACGUAAGGUAAGCGCUGAUUCCUAUUUACACAUUCACGAGCUCUUGUAUCGACUUUUUUUGUUUGUUUCGUUCAUGUUCCGGCGUUAUGGCUGUUGCUCAUCGUGGCAUGAGCGUGUGUAUUCGAGGUAAGAUCGGGCAUUUCGGGUCGGGUCGGGUCUUAAAAUGUCAAUCAUUGGUUCGGGGUCGGAUCGGGCUUUUCUCUCGCUGACUUUUUUUUUCGAAGCCGUCAAUAGUUUUGGCCACGAGAGACUGUGGUUCGCAAAAAAAAAAACAGAAGUUGUCUCAUCACAACACGUACUGUACUAAACUCUUGCAAUGACAAUUCAAAAAACUCCUUCCUGUCUCUGUCUAUGAUCCACCCAUCAUUAUUCUUUUUCUCUCUCUCUGCUUUUCUCUCAUAUAGUGUCGCGCUAGAUUC
Molecule: long non-coding RNA, 1086 nt
Organism: Hippocampus zosterae (dwarf seahorse)
Lineage: Eukaryota; Metazoa; Chordata; Actinopteri; Syngnathiformes; Syngnathidae
Exons: 3
Source: RefSeq, a predicted model, not a curated record